This 1554-nucleotide ribosomal RNA is filed under the name Salmonella enterica. RNAcentral describes it as "bacterial SSU rRNA". It matches the Rfam family "Bacterial small subunit ribosomal RNA". RNAcentral also lists the same sequence under 2 other names. Lineage: Bacteria; Pseudomonadati; Pseudomonadota; Gammaproteobacteria; Enterobacterales; Enterobacteriaceae. The record is from RNAcentral.
UUAAAUUGAAGAGUUUGAUCAUGGCUCAGAUUGAACGCUGGCGGCAGGCCUAACACAUGCAAGUCGAACGGUAACAGGAAGCAGCUUGCUGCUUUGCUGACGAGUGGCGGACGGGUGAGUAAUGUCUGGGAAACUGCCUGAUGGAGGGGGAUAACUACUGGAAACGGUGGCUAAUACCGCAUAACGUCGCAAGACCAAAGAGGGGGACCUUCGGGCCUCUUGCCAUCAGAUGUGCCCAGAUGGGAUUAGCUAGUUGGUGAGGUAACGGCUCACCAAGGCGACGAUCCCUAGCUGGUCUGAGAGGAUGACCAGCCACACUGGAACUGAGACACGGUCCAGACUCCUACGGGAGGCAGCAGUGGGGAAUAUUGCACAAUGGGCGCAAGCCUGAUGCAGCCAUGCCGCGUGUAUGAAGAAGGCCUUCGGGUUGUAAAGUACUUUCAGCGGGGAGGAAGGUGUUGUGGUUAAUAACCGCAGCAAUUGACGUUACCCGCAGAAGAAGCACCGGCUAACUCCGUGCCAGCAGCCGCGGUAAUACGGAGGGUGCAAGCGUUAAUCGGAAUUACUGGGCGUAAAGCGCACGCAGGCGGUCUGUCAAGUCGGAUGUGAAAUCCCCGGGCUCAACCUGGGAACUGCAUUCGAAACUGGCAGGCUUGAGUCUUGUAGAGGGGGGUAGAAUUCCAGGUGUAGCGGUGAAAUGCGUAGAGAUCUGGAGGAAUACCGGUGGCGAAGGCGGCCCCCUGGACAAAGACUGACGCUCAGGUGCGAAAGCGUGGGGAGCAAACAGGAUUAGAUACCCUGGUAGUCCACGCCGUAAACGAUGUCUACUUGGAGGUUGUGCCCUUGAGGCGUGGCUUCCGGAGCUAACGCGUUAAGUAGACCGCCUGGGGAGUACGGCCGCAAGGUUAAAACUCAAAUGAAUUGACGGGGGCCCGCACAAGCGGUGGAGCAUGUGGUUUAAUUCGAUGCAACGCGAAGAACCUUACCUGGUCUUGACAUCCACAGAACUUUCCAGAGAUGGAUUGGUGCCUUCGGGAACUGUGAGACAGGUGCUGCAUGGCUGUCGUCAGCUCGUGUUGUGAAAUGUUGGGUUAAGUCCCGCAACGAGCGCAACCCUUAUCCUUUGUUGCCAGCGGUUAGGCCGGGAACUCAAAGGAGACUGCCAGUGAUAAACUGGAGGAAGGUGGGGAUGACGUCAAGUCAUCAUGGCCCUUACGACCAGGGCUACACACGUGCUACAAUGGCGCAUACAAAGAGAAGCGACCUCGCGAGAGCAAGCGGACCUCAUAAAGUGCGUCGUAGUCCGGAUUGGAGUCUGCAACUCGACUCCAUGAAGUCGGAAUCGCUAGUAAUCGUGGAUCAGAAUGCCACGGUGAAUACGUUCCCGGGCCUUGUACACACCGCCCGUCACACCAUGGGAGUGGGUUGCAAAAGAAGUAGGUAGCUUAACCUUCGGGAGGGCGCUUACCACUUUGUGAUUCAUGACUGGGGUGAAGUCGUAACAAGGUAACCGUAGGGGAACCUGCGGUUGGAUCACCUCCUUACCUUAAAGAA